RNAcentral lists this ribosomal RNA (515 nucleotides) under uncultured bacterium. RNAcentral's name for it is "bacterial SSU rRNA". It matches the Rfam family "Bacterial small subunit ribosomal RNA", at positions 16 to 518 of the family's 1533-position model. The record is from RNAcentral.
AUUCUGGCUCAGGAUGAACGCUAGCUACAGGCUUAACACAUGCAAGUCGAGGGGCAGCAUGGGAGUUGCUUGCAACUUCCGAUGGCGACCGGCGCACGGGUGAGUAACGCGUAUCCAACCUGGCCCUUAGUAGGGAACAGCCCGGCGAAAGUCGGAUUAAUGCCCUAUGUUUUUCCAAUGAUGGCAUCUGACUUGGAACAAAGAUUCAUCGCUAAGGGAUGGGGAUGCGUCUGAUUAGCUUGUCGGCGGGGUAACGGCCCACCGAGGCGACGAUCAGUAGGGGUUCUGAGAGGAAGGUCCCCCACAUUGGUACUGAGACACGGACCAAACUCCUACGGGAGGCAGCAGUGAGGAAUAUUGGUCAAUGGGCGCGAGCCUGAACCAGCCAAGUAGCGUGCAGGAAAGACUGCCCUAUGGGUUGUAAACUGCUUUUAUGCGGGAAUAAAGUCAGGUACGCGUACCUGUUUGUAUGUACCGCAUGAAUAAGGACCGGCUAAUUCCGUGCCAGCAGCUGC